AGAGUUUGAUCCUGGCUCAGAGCGAACGCUGGCGGCAGGCUUAACACAUGCAAGUCGAGCGGGCAUCUUCGGAUGUCAGCGGCAGACGGGUGAGUAACACGUGGGAACGUGCCUUUUGGUUCGGGACAACUCCGGGAAACUGGAGCUAAUACCGGAUAAGCCCUUUGGGGGAAAGAUUUAUCGCCAAAAGAUCGGCCCGCGUCUGAUUAGCUAGUUGGUGGGGUAAUGGCCCACCAAGGCGACGAUCAGUAGCUGGUCUGAGAGGAUGAUCAGCCACACUGGGACUGAGACACGGCCCAGACUCCUACGGGAGGCAGCAGUGGGGAAUAUUGGACAAUGGGCGCAAGCCUGAUCCAGCCAUGCCGCGUGAGUGAUGAAGGCCCUAGGGUUGUAAAGCUCUUUUGUCCGGGAAGAUAAUGACUGUACCGGAAGAAUAAGCCCCGGCUAACUUCGUGCCAGCAGCCGCGGUAAUACGAAGGGGGCUAGCGUUGCUCGGAAUCACUGGGCGUAAAGGGCGCGUAGGCGGAUCUUUAAGUCGGGGGUGAAAGCCCAGGGCUCAACCCUGGAAUUGCCUUCGAUACUGAAGAUCUUGAGACCGGUAGAGGUAAGUGGAACUGCGAGUGUAGAGGUGAAAUUCGUAGAUAUUCGCAAGAACACCAGUGGCGAAGGCGGCUUACUGGACCGGUUCUGNNGCUGAGGCGCGAAAGCGUGGGGAGCAAACAGGAUUAGAUACCCUAGUAGUCC
Molecule: ribosomal RNA, 744 nt
Filed under: uncultured bacterium
Lineage: Bacteria
Description: bacterial SSU rRNA
Rfam family: Bacterial small subunit ribosomal RNA
Source: RNAcentral